UACGAAGGGGGCUAGCGUUGCUCGGAAUCACUGGGCGUAAAGCGCACGUAGGCGGCUUUCUAAGUCAGGGGUGAAAUCCUGGAGCUCAACUCCAGAACUGCCUUUGAUACUGGAGAGCUUGAGUCCGGGAGAGGUGAGUGGAACUCCUAGUGUAGAGGUGGAAUUCGUAGAUAUUAGGAAGAACACCAGUGGCGAAGGCGGCUCACUGGUCCGGUACUGACGCUGAGGUGCGAAAGCGUGGGGAGCAAACAGG
RNAcentral lists this ribosomal RNA (253 nucleotides) under uncultured bacterium. RNAcentral describes it as "partial 16S ribosomal RNA". It matches the Rfam family "Bacterial small subunit ribosomal RNA", at positions 524 to 776 of the family's 1533-position model. The record is from RNAcentral.